This 254-nucleotide ribosomal RNA is filed under the name uncultured bacterium. Its description in RNAcentral is "partial 16S ribosomal RNA". It matches the Rfam family "Bacterial small subunit ribosomal RNA", at positions 524 to 776 of the family's 1533-position model. The record is from RNAcentral.
UACGUAGGGGGCGAGCGUUGUCCGAAUUUACUGGGCGUAAAGCGCGCGUAGGCGGUUAUUUAAGUCUGGGGUGAAAGGUUCAGCGCUCAACGUGAACAUUGCCUUGGAUACUGGGUGACUUGAGUCUGGGAGAGGGAAGUGGAAUUCCUGGUGUAGCGGUGAAAUGCGUAGAUAUCAGGAGGAACACCGGUGGCGAAGGCGGCUUCCGGGCCUAAGAAUGACGCUGAGGUGCGAAAGCGUGGGUAGCGAACGGG